This 478-nucleotide ribosomal RNA is filed under the name uncultured bacterium. RNAcentral describes it as "partial 16S ribosomal RNA". It matches the Rfam family "Bacterial small subunit ribosomal RNA", at positions 28 to 523 of the family's 1533-position model. The record is from RNAcentral.
GACGAACGCUGGCGGCGUGCUUAACACAUGCAAGUCGAACGGUAAGGCCCUUCGGGGUACACGAGUGGCGAACGGGUGAGUAACACGUGGGUGAUCUGCCCUGCACUUCGGGAUAAGCCUGGGAAACUGGGUCUAAUACCGGAUAGGACCACUGCCUGCAUGGGUGGUGGUGGAAAGCUUUUGCGGUGUGGGCUGGGCCCGCGGCCUAUCAGGUUGUUGGUGGGGUGAUGGCCUACCAAGGAGACGACGGGUAGCGGGGCUGGGAGGGUGACCGACCAAACUGGGACUGAGAUACGGCCCAGAUACCUCCGGGAGGAAGCAGUGGGGAAUAUUGAACAAUGGGCGCAAGCCUGAUGCAGCGACGCCGCGUGGGGGAUGACGGCCUUCGGGUUGUAAACCUCUUUCAGCACCGACGAAGCGCAAGUGACGGUAGGUGCAGAAGAAGGACCGGCCAACUACGUGCCAGCCGCCGCAGUAA